UACGGAGGGUGCAAACGUUGCUCGGAAUCAUUGGGCGUAAAGCGCACGUAGGCGGUCCGCUAAGUCGGGUGUGAAAGCCCUGGGCUCAACCCAGGAAGUGCACACGAAACUGGUCGGCUUGAAUAUGGAAGAGGGUUGCGGAAUUCCCGGUGUAGAGGUGAAAUUCGUAGAUAUCGGGAGGAACACCAGUGGCGAAGGCGGCAACCUGGGCCAAUAUUGACGCUGAGGUGCGAAAGCGUGGGGAGCAAACAGG
Molecule: ribosomal RNA, 253 nt
Filed under: uncultured bacterium
Lineage: Bacteria
Description: partial 16S ribosomal RNA
Rfam family: Bacterial small subunit ribosomal RNA
Source: RNAcentral